GAUGAACGCUGACAGAAUGCUUAACACAUGCAAGUCUUUGGCGAAGCUGUGCUUGCACAGCCUAGCCAAGGCGGACGGGUGAGUAACGCGUAAGGAACUUGCCCUGCAGUCAGGGAUAACAGACGGAAACGACUGAUAAGACCUGGUAAAGUCAGGCGGACUCAUGUCCAGCCUGAUGAAAAGAGAUGCUGCAGGAGAGCCUUGCGUCCUAUUAGCUUGUUGGUGGGGUAACGGCCCACCAAGGCGAUGAUAGGUAGCCGGCCUGAGAGGGUGGACGGCCACAAGGGGACGGGGAUACGGCCCUUACUCCUACGGGAGGCAGCAGUGGGGAAUAUUGGACAAUGGGGGCAACCCUGAUCCAGAAAUUCUGUGUGAACGAUGAAGGUUUUCGGAUUGUAAAGUGCUUUCAGCAGGGAAGAAAAAAAUGACGGUACCUGCAGAAGAAGCGACGGCUAAAUACGUG
This 463-nucleotide ribosomal RNA is filed under the name uncultured bacterium. RNAcentral's name for it is "partial 16S ribosomal RNA". It matches the Rfam family "Bacterial small subunit ribosomal RNA", at positions 28 to 507 of the family's 1533-position model. The record is from RNAcentral.